AGUGAACGCUGGCGGUAGGCCUAACACACGCAAGUCGAACGGCAGCACAGUAAGAGCUUGCUCUUACGGGUGGCGAGUGGCGGACGGGUGAGGAAUACAUCGGAAUCUACUUUUUCGUGGGGGAUAACGUAGGGAAACUUACGCUAAUACCGCAUACGACCUACGGGUGAAAGCAGUGGAUCUUCGGACCUUGCGCGAUUGAAUUAGCCGAUGUCGGAUUAGCUAGUUGGCGGGGUAAAGGCCCACCAAGGCGACGAUCCGUAGCUGGUCUGAGAGGAUGAUCAGCCACACUGGAACUGAGACACGGUCCAGACUCCUACGGGAGGCAGCAGUGGGGAAUAUUGGACAAUGGGCGCAAGCCUGACCCAGCCAUACCGCGUGGGUGAAGAAGGCCUUCGGGUUGUAAAGCCCUUUUGUUGGGAAAGAAAAGCAGUAGGUUAAUACCCCGCUGUUCUGACGGUACCCAAAGAAUAAGCACCGGCUAACUUCGUG
RNAcentral lists this ribosomal RNA (492 nucleotides) under uncultured bacterium. RNAcentral describes it as "partial 16S ribosomal RNA". It matches the Rfam family "Bacterial small subunit ribosomal RNA", at positions 29 to 507 of the family's 1533-position model. The record is from RNAcentral.